This 498-nucleotide small RNA is filed under the name Pan troglodytes (chimpanzee). Its description in RNAcentral is "retained intron". Lineage: Eukaryota; Metazoa; Chordata; Mammalia; Primates; Hominidae. The record is from RNAcentral.
UGAGAGUCCAGUGACUCGGCAGGAGAAGAUGGCGACCGUGUGGGAUGAGGCCGAGCAAGAUGGAAUUGGGGAGGAGGUGCUCAAGAUGUCCACGGAGGAGAUCAUCCAGCGCACACGGCUGCUGGACAGUGAGAUCAAGAUCAUGAAGAGUGAAGUGUUGAGAGUCACCCAUGAGCUCCAAGCCAUGAAGGACAAGAUAAAAGAGAACAGUGAGAAAAUCAAAGUGAACAAGACCCUGCCGUACCUUGUCUCCAACGUCAUCGAGCUCCUGGAUGUUGAUCCUAAUGACCAAGAGGAGGAUGGUGCCAAUAUUGACCUGGACUCCCAGAGGAAGGGCAAGUGUGCUGUGAUCAAAACCUCUACACGACAGACGUACUUCCUUCCUGUGAUUGGGUUGGUGGAUGCUGAAAAGCUAAAGCCAGGAGACCUGGUGGUGAGUGGGGCCUGAGCCCAGGCAGUGCUUUUCUGGUGACUAGCUGAGCCCCUGCACCCGCCCCA